This is a long non-coding RNA of Dermacentor andersoni, 376 nucleotides long. RefSeq lists it as uncharacterized. Lineage: Eukaryota; Metazoa; Arthropoda; Arachnida; Ixodida; Ixodidae. The record is from RefSeq and is a predicted model, not a curated record.
GCGUCCCGUCGUCGAUGCACAACGUGAUUCUCUGAGGAAGGAGGAUGAAGCAGCACUGGGACAGAACACAGGCGAUGUCCUACAGAGGGUUGGAAAGCUCCUGCAAGGACAGCUGUCCGAAGCCACUGCAGAAGAUCGGGAAAGCAUACUGAAUGCCUUGAAGACUGUUGAUACGGCCGUCUUGGAUCCAAAUGAAACUGAGCAGUACUUCUUUCUCAUUCUCUUCAAGGCAUUAAUUGCAACAGCUAUCACUGCCGGUGUGUCAACUGGUGUAGGCCUUGAAGUGGACAAAGCGUUGAAGAAGGGCUUCAGGAAAAGGGGCUAAGGAAGAUGAUUUGCGUGUCUGACCGAGCAAAUAAAGAAUUAUUCAAACAAA